ACCUUUCGAUGAUGAAAUAAGUUAUCCCUGUCCGAGUAACUAAACAAAUCUGUGGAUAGAAAUCUUAUUCUGAGAAUGGU
Asterias rubens (European starfish) is the source of this 80-nucleotide small nucleolar RNA. RefSeq annotates it as small nucleolar RNA R38. Lineage: Eukaryota; Metazoa; Echinodermata; Asteroidea; Forcipulatida; Asteriidae. The record is from RefSeq and is a predicted model, not a curated record. The transcript has a single exon.